Molecule: ribosomal RNA, 465 nt
Filed under: uncultured bacterium
Lineage: Bacteria
Description: bacterial SSU rRNA
Rfam family: Bacterial small subunit ribosomal RNA
Source: RNAcentral
CCCAGACUCCUACGGGAGGCAGCAGUGAGGAAUAUUGGUCAAUGGGCUUACGCCUGAACCAGCCAAGUCGCGUGAGGGAAGACGGCCCUACGGGUUGUAAACCUCUUUUGUCGGGGAGCAAAGAGAGUCACGUGUGACUCAUUGAGAGUACCCGAAGAAAAAGCAUCGGCUAACUCCGUGCCAGCAGCCGCGGUAAUACAUAGGGAGCAAGCGUUAUCCGGAUUUAUUGGGUGUAAAGGGUGCGUAGACGGGAAAUUAAGUUAGUUGUGAAAUCCCUCGGCUUAACUGAGGAACUGCAACUAAAACUGAUUUUCUUGAGUACUGGAGAGGAAAGUGGAAUUCCUAGUGUAGCGGUGAAAUGCGUAGAUAUUAGGAGGAACACCAGUGGCGAAGGCGACUUUCUGGACAGUAACUGACGUUGAGGCACGAAAGUGUGGGGAGCAAACAGGAUUAGAUACCCCUGUA